RNAcentral lists this long non-coding RNA (4635 nucleotides) under Mus musculus (house mouse). Its description in RNAcentral is "predicted gene, 59840". Lineage: Eukaryota; Metazoa; Chordata; Mammalia; Rodentia; Muridae. The record is from RNAcentral.
GCCUGUCCUUCCUGUGAUCCUAGUUGUGUCAGAACUCCUCAGAGUUCAGCUGUCUCUGUGACCCUGUGAUUCUGGAAUCCUGUUAUCCUGAGAUCCUGGGUGUGUCAGAGCUCCUGGGAGUCAAGCUGCCCCUGGGACCCUGAGAUCCUGGUGUGACCAAGCUCCUGAGAUCCUGUGAUCCUAUGAUCCUGGGCAUGUUAAAGCACCUGAGUGACGAACUUCCUCUGGGUGUGUGGGACUAGGUGAGGAGCUAGUGCCCAAGGUCUGCUCAGGGUACCAGAUGGAACCCGCUGCCACUGACCAGACAGGGGUUCCUGAGUCCCUGGAUCUCAAUGGUCCCAGUUACUCCCAGUGUUGGGGCAGAUGUUGUGGCCUCCUCACCUAUGAUCCUGGGAGUGUUAGAGCGCCUGAGAGUUGAGCUUCUUCUAGGUUUUGUAGGACUGGGUGCAGAGCUAGUACCCAAGGUCUGCUCAGGGCACUGGCUCAGCCUUUACUUACUAUUCUGAGGAGUGAGCAUAUUCUAUUCCUGAUUGUAACUUUAUUACAUCUCUCUAGUGAAGCAACUAAGACCAUCUCUAAAAACUUUCUUCCUAAAAUUGUCAAAUCAGGAAUUCUAUAGAAUAAUUACCUAUUUGUCUAUAUAGCAUCACUACAAGAUAGUACAUCUUCAUAUAUCUGCAGAGAUCUGCUUAAAAAGGUGGGCUAAUGCCUAGUGAUUGUUAUAUAUGUUUAGUAAUAGCAGGAAAAACAUAUUAAUAACAGGAAUCUUUGCUAAAAUGGAUUUCUCCUAGGCCUUGUCUACCAGAGUAAAUCCUUCAUAGAUUUUAAUCUAAGUUGGACCCAUCUCAUGAAGAUCACCUGCUAGUUUUUAGCUUCUCUUAUGAUGGCUCCUGACAAAUGAAAGCCUGGAUAGUGAACAAAUGAUAAUUAUCUUUAUUCCUAGUUCUAUUAAACAUGUACACACAAUAUAUUUACACUUUAAAAAUACACAUUAGGCCGGGCGGUGGUGGCGCAUGCCUUUAAUCCCAGCACUUGGGGGUCAGAGGCAGGUGGAUUUCUGAGUUCGAGGCCAGCCUGGUCUACAGAGUGAGUUCCAGGACAGUCAGGACUGCAUAGAGAAACCCUGUCUUGAAAAAAAAAUACACAUUAGGUACAAUGCUAUAGAAUUCAUUAUAGUUAUAGUUCAAAUUGCAGUUGGUCAAUAGUUCCAUAGUUAAUACAUAGAAAAUUAUUUUGUCAUUUAUAUGGGUCUUGUUUUGUUUUAGACUAUUUUGAAAAAUAUAAACUUAUAAUAAGUUCUUAAUGGAAAGGAUUUUCUGCAUCAUUCAGCUCUUGUGGUCUAUAGUCCAUUGUGUAGAGCCAGGUUCUAUAUAGACCAGUGUUACAACAAGGGUGUUAUUACACCAUGUGAGUCAGGUGAGAAGAGGUCAUCAGUGGAUAUAUUUUCAGAGCCCUGGGUUGGGGGUCCAGGAAGAAAGCCAUUGAGUUUUAGUGAUGGUUUGGAUGAGAUAUGCCCCCAUCAUUGUGGGCAUCUGAGUACUUAAUUCCUACUGAUGACUCUGUUUGGCAGGCUUAGAUGGUAUAGUAUUGCUAGUAGAUGUGUGUCACUAGAGACAGGCUUUAAGAAUUUAGAAGCUCAUAUCAUUUUGAGUUCACUCUCUCUGCUUCCUGUUUGUGGCUCAAGAUGUGUGUUUUCAGCUUGUUACUCUAACUGUGGACCUGCCAUUAUAGAAUACUAUGCCUGUAGAACCAUAAGCCAAAACAACCCUUCCUUCUAUAUGUUGCCUUGAUUGUGGUGUUUAUCACAGCAAUAGAAGAGUACCGGUUUCUUGAAGAAGCCAAAAACCAUCCUGUGGUACCCAAUGACAGGGGAUUAUGACAUCAUCAUGGAGUACUGGAGGAGUAUAGUGAUUGGGCCAGAUAUUGAUUUCAAACAUUCAGCAUACAGAACUCCAAAGGAUAUGUCUCUAUGUGCUUUUGGGGAACCUAUUCCCAGGAUCCAGAAAGUGAUGUCUAUCCCAGGAAUCAGACCUGGCACACAUGGAGGAUUGUGAGGUCAGUGCUAUGGGUACAUUUGGGCAUGGAGAAGGAACAGAGUAGAUUACUCAGAAAUGGUCACCACCCCACCACCCCAACCUCCCCCCCAGGGACCGUAAAGUUUAAGAUCAGGGCAAUUUUCUUGUUGUAUAAUUACCUCUGCCUAAACAAGAUAACAUUACCCUGAAUGAAAAGAGAUCUCAGAGUCUCAAAAUUCAUGGGCAUUUACUAAGCAGAAAACCUUAAGGCAAUUUUGGAGCUGGAAUGAUAGUUCAGUGGCUUAGAAUGCUUGUUGCUGUCCAAGGGACUUACCUUCAAUUUCAAGAACCUAAGUGGCAUCCUGUUUCAGUUCCAGAUCUAGGGCCUCUUCUGAUCUGUGCCACCAAGCAGGCAAGAGGUGUACAUACACCUAAUAAAUGGAUCUAGAAAAUAAAUUAAUAAUGAUGAUGAUGAUGAUGAUGAUAAUCAUAACUUAAAGAUGGUCUCAAAUAUUCCAAAGAGAAGAAACUUACUCUCAAGAGUGAUUCUAACUUGUCUUUAGUGAGAGUUUUAAUUUGGAGGGCAGGGAGAGAUUAACUGAAUUGUUGCCACCCAGCAAAGCAUACACUGUGCCAAAUUUCUGAAAGGGGCUGAAAAGUGUAUUAACUAACCACUGUUAAACCAACAUUGACAACAAAGCAAAACAAAAAGAACAUUCAAACAAGAAUCAAAUAAACCCUUUUUAACAUCAAAUACCCAGGAGCAUAAAGACAGAGAGAUGGAGUCACUGCCAAAGUGAGCACUCUCUAGUCAGGAAAGGAGUUGAACAGAUUGGAGAGGUAUGGGUCCCUGGGCAGAGAAGGUUGAGCAAUAGACCACCAGCCAUAAUUGGUUUUGCUUUUUUGUUGAGACAGAGUCUCACUACAUAUCCCUGGCUGACAUGGAAUUCUCUAUGUACACCAAGCUGGCCUUGAACUCACAUAGAUUCCCUCUGACUCUGCCUCCCCAAUGCUAAAAAUAAGAGCAUGGGCCACCAAAUCUAGCCCAAAUUUUUCUCUGUCCUAAAGUUUUAAUGGAAAAUAGAGGUUCAGUGGUCCACUGGACCUCAAACUCUAUUCUUUACCUCCUUCUCACUCAGAAACAAAACAGAAUCUUCAAUUUCAAAUGCAUUUUUUAACUGAUGUUAUUUUUCAAGACAGGGUUUCUGUAUAGGAAUUUUAAUCCAGCAAUAUGGCCACUCUGAUCAUAUCCAAAGACCUUCUUGGUCUAUGUGAUCUGGCUGAAAUGCAAACAUGCUCUUAGUAUACAUCAUUAAUCCAAACCAAUGAAGGUAAAGAAAGUUUGUAGAAGGAAGCACCCAUGUUUGAAAGUGAUAUCUAAUUGGGAGGCAGACAAAGUGACAAAUCCGAAAAACAUUUGACAAAAUAGGACAUGCCCAAAUCACAUCGACAGAGAGGAAAGAGAGGCAACAUGAGAAAAAGCAGCAUAGUGGAAAAGAGGAAGGAGGCAGUUUUAUUGGGACAGUUGUACAGAGAGAUAGGUAGCAGAGAGAGAACAAGCUAGACAGAAGAGAAAACAGAACAAGCCACAGAAUGAGAAGGAGCCAGAAAAUUAGAGCACAUUGCCAAAGUUAGUGUGAAGCCAAGUAGAGCAAUUCAGUCAAAAGCUUAGAGAAGCCAGUUUGAAUCAGUCAUCUUGGAGAGCAGUUUGAGCCAGAAUAGCUGAGUUAAAUGAGAAAGGAUGAGCAUACUCAACAGUAAAUCUCAGAGGCUGAAAACAUCCUAGACCUAGGUAAGUUAUACAGCGACUAGAAGCUUCCAGGACUAGGUCUAGGUUAGCAGAUGGAGGCAGUAAACCUCUGUGAUAAUAUUACUACAGGAAAAUAGUUACAUUUACAGGUUUCUCUGGGUAGCUCUGGCUGUCCUGAAAGUCUCUCUACAGACCAGGCUGGACUCAAAUUCAGACAUCUGGCUGCCUCUGCCUCUGCCUCUGCCUCUGCCUCUGCCUCUGCCUCUGCCUCUGCCUCUGCCUCUGCCUCUGCCUCUGCCUCUGCCUCUGCCUCUGCCUCUGCCUCUGCCUCUGCCUCUGGAAUGUAGGUUUAAAGGUGAGUACCACCACACCUGGCUCAGAUGUAUUUUUUAAAAGGUGGGUAUCAGGCAUUUUCAAAUGUAGGCUUGAGUCUCAGCUCCUUCAGAGUGUUUUUAUAUUAUUCACUGUAAGAUAUAAAUAUCGUCUUGAAUUUUUCAAAAGGUUGGCUCAAAUGAAGAGGAAAAUCCUCAAUUUCUUGGGUCAGGAAUGAGAAACAUCCUUAUAUACUGGUCCAGAUCACAAGUGCAACACAAAGAUCCAGAGAGCCAUUUGAUGAGCAGAGCAUUCAAGACUCAAGGAUCCUUUGAAAUAUAUACAAACUUGGAAUUUCGGAUAUUGACCAUCUGCAAGAAAACAAGCAACCUGUUCUUUGUGUCACCAACAGUAUUUGAUGUUGUCAAUUGAUUACAUAUUUUUUUGUUUAGCAAUUGUUAGGUAUGUAUACAUAUCUAAUUAUGGAAUUACUUUGCAUUUCUAUAAUAGCUAAUGAUCUGAAGAGCUUAUUAUGGCUAUCUCUUUGAUAAAAUGUCA